Molecule: ribosomal RNA, 846 nt
Filed under: Bacillus sp. DJHH16
Lineage: Bacteria; Bacillati; Bacillota; Bacilli; Caryophanales; Bacillaceae
Description: bacterial SSU rRNA
Rfam family: Bacterial small subunit ribosomal RNA
Source: RNAcentral
UGAUGAAGGUUUUCGGAUCGUAAAGCUCUGUUGUUAGGGAAGAACAAGUGCAAGAGUAACUGCUUGCACCUUGACGGUACCUAACCAGAAAGCCACGGCUAACUACGUGCCAGCAGCCGCGGUAAUACGUAGGUGGCAAGCGUUGUCCGGAAUUAUUGGGCGUAAAGGGCUCGCAGGCGGUUUCUUAAGUCUGAUGUGAAAGCCCCCGGCUCAACCGGGGAGGGUCAUUGGAAACUGGGAAACUUGAGUGCAGAAGAGGAGAGUGGAAUUCCACGUGUAGCGGUGAAAUGCGUAGAGAUGUGGAGGAACACCAGUGGCGAAGGCGACUCUCUGGUCUGUAACUGACGCUGAGGAGCGAAAGCGUGGGGAGCGAACAGGAUUAGAUACCCUGGUAGUCCACGCCGUAAACGAUGAGUGCUAAGUGUUAGGGGGUUUCCGCCCCUUAGUGCUGCAGCUAACGCAUUAAGCACUCCGCCUGGGGAGUACGGUCGCAAGACUGAAACUCAAAGGAAUUGACGGGGGCCCGCACAAGCGGUGGAGCAUGUGGUUUAAUUCGAAGCAACGCGAAGAACCUUACCAGGUCUUGACAUCCUCUGACAACCCUAGAGAUAGGGCUUUCCCUUCGGGGACAGAGUGACAGGUGGUGCAUGGUUGUCGUCAGCUCGUGUCGUGAGAUGUUGGGUUAAGUCCCGCAACGAGCGCAACCCUUGAUCUUAGUUGCCAGCAUUCAGUUGGGCACUCUAAGGUGACUGCCGGUGACAAACCGGAGGAAGGUGGGGAUGACGUCAAAUCAUCAUGCCCCUUAUGACCUGGGCUACACACGUGCUACAAUGGACAGAACAAAGG